Molecule: RNA transcript, 4652 nt
Organism: Phyllostomus hastatus (greater spear-nosed bat)
Lineage: Eukaryota; Metazoa; Chordata; Mammalia; Chiroptera; Phyllostomidae
Gene: PRP4K
Gene name: pre-mRNA processing factor 4B
Exons: 19
Source: RefSeq, a predicted model, not a curated record
CGGAUUCUUAGAGCGGACUCAGAGCUCCACGGUUCCCGACGCGCUUAGCACAUGCGCGACAGCUCAGCUCUCUCUUCUUCCACUUCCACUAGCCUCCACCGUCCGGGCAGCCGCCGCCACCGCCGCCGAAGAGUCAGGAAGUUCAAGAUGGCCGCCACGGAGGCUCAGUCUCUGCGGGAACAGCCAGAGAUGGAAGAUGCUGAUAAUUCCGAAAAAAGUGUAAAUGAAGAGAAUGGAGAAGUAUCAGAAGACCAAUCUCAAAAUAAGCACAGUCGUCACAAAAAAAAGAAGCAUAAACACAGAAGUAAACAUAAGAAACAUAAACAUUCCUCGGAAGAAGACAAGGAUAAAAAACAUAAACAUAAGCAUAAACAUAAGAAACACAAAAGAAAAGAGGUUAUUGAUGCUUCUGACAAAGAAGGUAUGUCUCCAGCAAAAAGAACUAAACUUGAUGAUUUAGCUUUGCUGGAAGACUUGGAAAAACAGAGAGCCUUGAUUAAAGCUGAACUUGACAAUGAGUUAAUGGAAGGAAAGGUCCAGUCGGGGAUGGGGCUCAUAUUACAAGGUUAUGAAUCUGGCUCUGAAGAAGAGGGGGAAAUUCAUGAAAAGGCAAGAAAUGGAAAUAGGUCUAGUACUAGAUCUUCAACUAUAAAGGGGAAACUUGAACUUAUGGACAAUAAAAAUAGUACAAAAAAGCGAAGUAAAAGCAGAUCCAAAGAACGGACUAGACAUAGGUCUGACAAAAAGAAAGGUAAGGGAGGUGUUGAAAUAGCUAAAGAAAAGACAGCUAGGAGCAAAUCAAAGGAGAGGAAAAAGUCCAAAAGUCCAUCCAAAAGAAGUAAGUCUCAAGAUCAAGCAAGAAAAUCAAAAUCUCCUACCCUUAGAAGGCGAUCUCAAGAGAAAAUUGGGAAAGCCAGAUCUCCUGCUGAUGACAAGGUUAAAAUUGAAGAUAAAAGUAAGUCAAAAGACAGAAAAAAAUCCCCAGUUGUAAAUGAGAGUAGAAAUCGUGAUCGAGGCAAAAAAUCCAGAUCCCCAGUUGACUUAAGAGGUAAAUCCAAAGACAGAAGGUCACGGUCCAAAGAGAGAAAAUCAAAAAGGUCUGAAACCGAUAAAGAAAAGAAGCCAAUUAAAUCUCCUUCUAAAGAUGCUUCUUCUGGGAAAGAAAAUAGGUCACCCAGUAGAAGGCCUGGUCGUAGUCCUAAAAGAAGGAGCUUGUCUCCAAAACAACGGGAUAAAUCAAGAAGAAGUAGAUCUCCACUUUUAAAUGAUAGGAGGUCUAAACAGAGCAAAUCGCCUUCUCGAACUCUGUCUCCUGGUAGAAGAGCCAAGAGCCGAUCUUUGGAAAGAAAACGAAGAGAACCGGAAAGGAGACGACUUUCUUCCCCACGAACACGACCUCGAGAUGAUAUCCUCAGUAGGCGUGAGAGAUCAAAAGAUGCCAGUCCCAUCAGCCGGUGGUCUCCAACCCGAAGAAGAGCAAGUAGAUCUCCCAUUAGAAGGAGAUCUCGCUCCCCACUCAGGCGUAGCAGGUCUCCCAGAAGAAGAAGCAGGUCUCCUCGGAGAAGGGACAGAGGUCGGAGGAGCAGAUCACGCAUGAGAAGGCGGUCUCGAUCACGGGGUGGUCGUAGACGUAGGAGCAGAAGCAAAGUAAAAGAAGAUAAAUUUAAAGGAAGUCUUUCUGAAGGAAUGAAAGUUGAGCAAGAAUCUUCUUCUGAAGAUAACCUUGAAGACUUUGACGUAGAGGAAGAAGAUGAAGAGGCAUUAAUAGAACAGAGAAGAAUACAAAGGCAAGCAAUUGUCCAGAAAUAUAAAUAUCUGGCUGAAGAUAGCAAUAUGUCUGUGCCAUCUGAACCCAGCAGCCCCCAGAGCAGUACUCGUACACGGUCACCUUCUCCAGACGACAUUCUGGAAAGGGUAGCUGCUGAUGUUAAAGAGUAUGAACGAGAAAAUGUUGAUACAUUUGAGGCCUCAGUAAAAGCCAAGCAUAAUCUAAUGACAGUUGAACAAAAUAAUGGGUCUUCUCAGAAGAAGCUUUUGGCACCUGAUAUGUUUACAGAAUCUGAUGAUAUGUUUGCUGCAUACUUUGAUAGUGCUCGUCUUCGGGCUGCUGGCAUUGGAAAAGAUUUCAAAGAGAAUCCUAACCUCAGGGAUAACUGGACUGAUGCAGAAGGCUAUUAUCGUGUGAACAUAGGUGAAGUACUAGAUAAGCGCUACAAUGUGUAUGGCUACACUGGUCAAGGUGUGUUCAGUAACGUUGUACGAGCCAGAGAUAAUGCAAGAGCCAACCAAGAAGUGGCUGUAAAGAUCAUCAGAAACAAUGAGCUCAUGCAAAAAACUGGUUUAAAAGAACUAGAAUUCUUGAAAAAACUUAAUGAUGCUGAUCCUGAUGACAAAUUUCAUUGUUUACGGCUCUUCAGACACUUUUAUCACAAACAGCAUCUCUGUCUUGUAUUUGAGCCUCUCAGUAUGAAUUUACGAGAGGUGUUGAAAAAAUAUGGUAAAGAUGUUGGUCUUCAUAUUAAAGCUGUAAGAUCCUAUAGUCAGCAGUUGUUCUUGGCAUUGAAACUCCUUAAACGAUGCAAUAUUCUACAUGCAGAUAUCAAGCCAGAUAAUAUCCUGGUUAAUGAAUCAAAAACUAUUUUAAAGCUCUGUGAUUUUGGGUCGGCUUCACAUGUUGCGGAUAAUGACAUAACUCCUUAUCUUGUCAGUAGAUUUUAUCGUGCUCCUGAAAUCAUUAUAGGUAAAAGCUAUGACUAUGGUAUAGAUAUGUGGUCGGUAGGUUGCACCUUAUAUGAACUCUAUACCGGAAAAAUUUUAUUUCCUGGCAAAACCAAUAACCAUAUGUUGAAGCUCGCCAUGGAUCUCAAAGGAAAGAUGCCAAAUAAGAUGAUUCGGAAAGGCGUAUUCAAAGACCAACAUUUUGAUCAAAACCUUAACUUCAUGUACAUAGAAGUUGAUAAAGUAACAGAAAGGGAGAAAGUUACUGUCAUGAGCACCAUUAAUCCAACUAAGGACCUGUUGGCUGACUUGAUUGGGUGCCAGCGACUUCCUGAAGACCAACGUAAAAAAGUGCACCAACUAAAGGACUUGUUGGACCAGAUCCUAAUGUUGGACCCAGCCAAACGAAUUAGCAUCAACCAGGCCCUACAGCAUGCCUUUAUCCAGGAAAAAAUUUAAACGAGAUGAAGAAGCUCCAAUGGUUUGAGUAAUUAAAUACAAAGACUGAAGAAAUUUCACAGCAGUUUAUUAAUGUAUAUAAACUUAUAAAUAUUUCUCCAGCAAAUUUGAGGAAGCAUGAUAUAUUUGAAUUAACACCAAGGGUGAUAUUCUUUUAGAAAUGUUAGUUAAUCUGUUUUGUGUCUUAUGUGAAAUUUCACUGUAGAAGUUGUUUUAACUGCCAAGACUGCACAAAAUUACAGUGCUAAUGUAUAUGGUUGCAGUUCACAUAAAAGACAAAAGCAUCUGUUAUAAAAUAAGUAGUAAUACUGGGUGGUUGAUUUAUUUUUAGCAGACUUGGCUUCAUUUUGGUCUUCAGGUAAAAUGGCCAGCAUAAAUGCUGUUUAUAUUCACAUUUUCCUAGGUGUGUGUGUGCAGGCCACAGCAGCAUGCCCUUGGUGUAGUCAUUGCCGAAGGGGUCUGUUCCUUCUUGAGCCUGCCUGCAGGGACGGUCUCCUCUUUUAAGCAGGUUGUGUACAACAUUCAGUACACUGAAGGUAAGCUAAACCAUCAACAUCACUGGUGUUUUAAGAUGUUAUUUUAUUGGAACAAUUGACAAAUGAGGAUAUUAGCUUUGUGGCAGAAUUCCCUGCAUGUGUGAUAACUGAUCUUGUUUUAUUUUUUGGCAUUGCAACUGUGGCAUAGUUACAAUUUCUGUUCUAUUCAUCACAUUUAAAAUUUAAAGAGUAUGCGCUUGAUGGAUAGAGCCCCUUCAGUGUACUGUUUCUUAAUUAACUUUAAUUUUUUAAAAUCAACUUGCUAUAGACUUUAUACAUUUUGUUAAAUACAGUUAUUAGUGACAUAGAAACAAUGCGUAGUUUUCAUUUACUAAAUUACAAAUGUUGAGGCAUAAUUGAAAGUCCUCAUAUUUAAAAGUUAGACAACAUAAUGAAAUUUUUAACUAUUUGUAUGUCAUUUUGAAAGUGUACUGGUUUAUGGUAAAAGUGUUUUUUGUUUGUUCAUUGUUUUCAUUAUUUGUGAUCAUGUUGUCUUUCAAUACAGGCAUAAACCUUCCACUCUUGAACAAAGCAGCUGCUUUUUAAAAGCGAGAAAAAAGGAAAACGGGGCACAGGCCAUUCAACGCCUUCUCCAAGGGGUCUGAUUUGCUGAGACACCAGCUUCACCUUCUUAACAAGGCACUAAUUACAACAAGCAUGCACAUUUUGGUGCAUUCAAGAAUGGAAAAUCAGAAUAGCAGCAUUCUUCUGGUGCAGCUCAGUGGAAGAUGAUGACAACCAGAAGACAUGAACUAAGGGUAAGGGACUGUUCUUCUGAAGAAUCUUUCCAUUUAGUGAUCAAGAUAUGGAAGCUGAAAUCUGAAAAUACUCACUAUGUAUUCUGUUUGUGAUAUCAUUUGAAUUGUAACUUGCAUUUUAGCAACAAUAUUCCCAAUCAACUUAUUGGGAAAACAUAAUAAAAUAUGCCACUUGUUACUA